RNAcentral lists this non-coding RNA (59 nucleotides) under unclassified sequences. The record is from RNAcentral. RNAcentral also lists the same sequence under 1 other name.
GAGUUUGUGGACAGAUUUGGCCUAUUGCAACCACAAAAAAAAAUGCUAAAAACGUUUCA